GACGAACGCUGGCGGCGUGCCUAAUACAUGCAAGUAGAACGCUGAAGGAGGAGCUUGCUUCUCUGGAUGAGUUGCGAACGGGUGAGUAACGCGUAGGUAACCUGCCUGGUAGCGGGGGAUAACUAUUGGAAACGAUAGCUAAUACCGCAUAAUAGCAGUUGUUGCAUGACAACUGUUUGAAAGGUGCAAUUGCACCACUACCAGAUGGACCUGCGUUGUAUUAGCUAGUUGGUGGGGUAACGGCUCACCAAGGCGACGAUACAUAGCCGACCGGAGAGGGGGAGCGGCCACACUGGGACGGAGACACGGCCCAGACGCCUACGGGAGGCAGCAGGAGGGAAUCUUCGGCAAGCGGCGGAAGUCUGACCGAGCAACGCCGAGGGAGGGAAGAAGGUUGUCGGAUCGGAAAGGUCGGUUGUAAGGGAAGAACGAGUGUGAGAGUGGAAAGUUCACACUGUGACGGUAUCUGACCAGAAAGGGACGGCUAACUACGUG
This 495-nucleotide ribosomal RNA is filed under the name uncultured bacterium. RNAcentral's name for it is "partial 16S ribosomal RNA". It matches the Rfam family "Bacterial small subunit ribosomal RNA", at positions 28 to 507 of the family's 1533-position model. The record is from RNAcentral.